Molecule: long non-coding RNA, 1036 nt
Filed under: Bos taurus (domestic cattle)
Lineage: Eukaryota; Metazoa; Chordata; Mammalia; Artiodactyla; Bovidae
Description: long non-coding RNA NONBTAT001448
Source: RNAcentral
AUUGUUUCUAAACAGAAGAUACAUGGUUAUUUGGAUUAGUAACUUGAGUGGUUAUCAUUUUUAAAGAAUCAGUCCUUUAUGUCUGUAGACCACUUUAUAGAGUUUUUUUCCCCUACCCUUGUUGAUUUUAUUUUUCUGAGUAUGUAAACUAUUAAGUUAUACCAGAAAUGGUGAUUUUAAGUGAUUCCAACAUGAAGACUAAAGCAUGGGUGUGCUUCUCUGAGGUGAGAAUUCUGAAUCCUUCAAUCCCUGAUGACUUUCUUGGUUCCAGACUCUUAGCUCCAAAGGUCUGUAAGCCCUGCUUGAUUGUAUCAUUUUAAGCUCAACUUAACCUACAUGUGACUAUCAUCCACUUUUCCCAUUUCUGCCAGUCACCCCACCAUUCUGGAUAGACAGGUUUAUGCCCCUAGUUAUUUUUCUUGAGCAUCUUCCCUCUGUUGGGGGAAUGGAAAUCUCCCACUCUAGUUGGGUUCCGAGUUCUUUUACAACAGUCUUCCCCCUCCUCUCGCCCAUCUCUGUGGCCUCCUGCUAAGCCAGAAAUCCAUGUCCAGAUCUUGUUGCAUUUCUAGCACUUCUAAUGGAUAGCACCCUGCUCUCCAGAGUCUGCAGCCCACACAGAAGGUUCUGGUAUGUCCCUGUCCUGCCUCUAGUGAGUUUUGAGAAUACUGUCUUGCUUCAAGUAGCUCCAAUCUGCUCACGCUCAAGGGCCUGACUUUCCCAUUAGUUCAUCUCAACUUGUAUUGAGAUGAUUCUGUCAUAACAUGUAUUUUUUAAAGCAGCUUAUGGUGUAUUCCUCACCCUCCUUUCCUUUUUAGACCUGAAACAGUUUUGUCUUCCAAGCUAGGUGAUAAGUUCCUAGUGGGUAGAGAUGUUUGGCCAGGGGUCCUUUGUACUUCUCUUUGGCAUCAGCAGAAAGAUUAAGCUAUGGGAGCUGGGAAAGGAGUGGUGGCAGAUUCCUGGGUUUUUAGAGGCCUCCUGGCUAAGGAAGAAUCAUAUAGGUUGGCCUGUGUGUGGCUCAAUAGUUUGAAGUUGCCUG